GUCAGGUAGCCUGCAUACUAGCCAGCGGUCUGUUUACUCCUGAGAGCAGAAGUAGGAAGCGUAAGAGUCUGAACUGGAAGUGGUGAGCGUAAGAGCCUGAACUCCGGCGCACAGCAUACGCCAUUACCAAACGUUGCUGAUUGGUUAAGGGAACUCCAAUGAUUUUAAACCUCAAAAUAAGCAUCCGCCCAUUACGGAGACAGAUUAUUAUUACAUUGUUCCAGACUGUAUGACGAAGAGAAACAUAGUCACAGGCGGUAAGGACCAGGCUACAAAUCUUCCAGAGGGCUGAAAAUAUUUUAUUUUUUUAUUGUCCUGCAUAGGAGAUCUCAGACCUGACUGAACAGCUGGGUGAGACUGGAAAGAGCAUUUAUGAGCUGGAGAAGGCCAAGAAGGCUGUUGAGACUGAGAAGCUCGAGAUCCAGACUGCCUUGGAAGAGGCUAAGGCUGCCAUGAUGACCGAGGAGCUAAAGAAGGAGCAGGACACCAGUGCUCGAGGAUGAAGAAGAACCUGGAGGUCACUGUCAAGGAUCUGCAGCGCCGUCUGGAUGAGGCCGAGAAUCUGGCCAUGAAGGGUGGCAAGAAACAGCUCCAGAAACUGGAGUCCAGGGUUUGUGAGCUGGAAGGCGAGCUUGAGACUGAACAGAGACUUGGUGUUCAUGCUGUUAAGGGAGUCUGAGUAACAAGCUAACACCCACCUGGCCAAGUGCAGGAAGGUGCAGCAUGAGCUGGAGGAGGCUGAGGAGCGUGCUGAUAUUGGUGAGGUUGUCCCAUGUCAACAAGCACAGGGCCAAGAGCCGUGAUGGUGGAA
This is a long non-coding RNA of Alosa sapidissima (American shad), 811 nucleotides long. RefSeq lists it as uncharacterized. The transcript is spliced from 4 exons. The record is from RefSeq and is a predicted model, not a curated record. Lineage: Eukaryota; Metazoa; Chordata; Actinopteri; Clupeiformes; Clupeidae.